UGGUGGAGUGAUUUGUCUGGUUAAUUCCGAUAACGAACGAGACUCUGGCCUACUAAAUAGACGGCGGAUCUUUGUGUCCGUUCUGUCUUCUUAGAGGGAUAAGGCAGCUCGAAGCUGCGUGAAAAGGGGCAAUAACA
This 137-nucleotide ribosomal RNA is filed under the name uncultured eukaryote. RNAcentral describes it as "partial 18S ribosomal RNA". It matches the Rfam family "Eukaryotic small subunit ribosomal RNA", at positions 1299 to 1458 of the family's 1831-position model. The record is from RNAcentral.